This 497-nucleotide ribosomal RNA is filed under the name uncultured bacterium. Its description in RNAcentral is "partial 16S ribosomal RNA". It matches the Rfam family "Bacterial small subunit ribosomal RNA", at positions 28 to 507 of the family's 1533-position model. The record is from RNAcentral.
GAUGAACGCUGGCGGCGUGCCUAAUACAUGCAAGUCGAGCGAACGGACGAGAAGCUUUCUUUUCUGAUGUUAGCGGCGGACGGGUGAGUAACACGUGGAUAACCUACCUAUAAGACUGGGAUAACUUCGGGAAACCGGUGCUAAUACCGGAUAAUAUUUUGAACCGCAUGGUUCAAAAGUGAAAGACGGUCUUGCUGUCACUUAUAGAUGGAUCCGCGCUGCAUUAGCUAGUUGGUAAGGUAACGGCUUACCAAGGCAACGAUGCAUAGCCGACCUGAGAGGGUGAUCGGCCACACUGGAACUGAGACACGGUCCAGACUCCUACGGGAGGCAGCAGUAGGGAAUCUUCCGCAAUGGGCGAAAGCCUGACGGAGCAACGCCGCGUGAGUGAUGAAGGUCUUCGGAUCGUAAAACUCUGUUAUUAGGGAAGAACAUAUGUGUAAGUAACUGUGCACAUCUUGACGGUACCUAAUCAGAAAGCCACGGCUAACUACGUG